Molecule: ribosomal RNA, 1683 nt
Filed under: Malapterurus electricus (electric catfish)
Lineage: Eukaryota; Metazoa; Chordata; Actinopteri; Siluriformes; Malapteruridae
Description: 16S rRNA
Rfam family: Bacterial large subunit ribosomal RNA (bases 99-1571)
Source: RNAcentral
GCUAAACAGCUAGCUUAAUCAUUUAAAAACCUAUUACAAUAUUAAAUGUACCUGAUAAAACCACUAUACACCUAAUUAAAACAUUUUACCCCCUUAGUAUGUGAGACAGAAAAGGCCUCCUUAAAGCUAUAGAUAAAGUACCGCAAGGGAACGAUGAAAGAGAAAUGAAAUAAAUCAUUAAAGCAUAAAAAAGCAGAGACUGAACCUCGUACCUUUUGCAUCAUGAUUUAGCCAGUUCAACUGAGCAAAGCGCACUUUAGUUCAGUGCCCCGAAACUAAGCGAGCUACCCCGAGACAGCCUAUAAAUUAGGGCCAACCCCUCUCUGUGGCAAAAGAGUGGGAAGAUCCCCGGGUAGAGGUGAUAAGCCUACCGAGCUUAGUUAUAGCUGGUUGCCUAAGAAAUGAAUAGAAGUUCAGCCUCGCACUCCUCACCUCCUAUACAUACUCACAAUAUUAAGAGCCAGAGAAACAUGCGAUAGUUAGUCAAAGGGGGUACAGCCCCUAUGACACAGGACACAACCUUAUCAGGAGGUUAAAGAUUAUACUAAAUAAGAUACCCUGCUUUAGUGGGCCUAAAAGCAGCCAUCUAGUCAGAAAGCGUUAAAGCUCCAGCAGACAAAAAUCCAUUAUACAAAUAUUACAUCUCAAACCCCUAAACAUAUUAGGCUACUCCAUGUCAACAUGGAAGAAACCCUGCUAAAAUGAGUAAUAAGAAGGUACCCCCUUCUCCUGACCUAUGUGUACACUAGACCGGACCCCCCACUAGUAAUUACCGGACCCAAGACCAGAGGGAAUUAUAAUUAUACUCAAAAACCAAGAAAUAACUAUAAUCUACAGCCGUUAACUCUACACUGAAAGGCCACCUAAAGGAAAGACUAAAAGAAAGAGAAGGAACUCGGCAAACAUAAAGCCUCGCCUGUUUACCAAAAACAUCGCCUCCUGCCAAAACAUCGACGUAUAGGAGGUCUUGCCUGCCCAGUGACAAGUUUAAACGGCCGCGGUAUUUUGACCGUGCGAAGGUAGCGCAAUCACUUGUCUUUUAAAUGAAGACCUGUAUGAAUGGUGGAACGAGGGCUUAACUGUCUCCUCUCUCAAGUCAAUGAAAUUGAUCUGCCUGUGCAGAAGCAGGUAUACAAAUACAAGACGAGAAGACCCUUUGGAGCUUAAGAUAAAAGAUCAACUACGUCAAGAACCUCCAAACAGCAAUUAAACUAACUAGCACUUGAUCUCCUUCUUCAGUUGGGGCGACCACGGGAGAAAACAAAGCUCCCAUGAGGACCGGGGCUUAGCCCUAGAACCAAGAGAGACAUCUCAAAGCCACAGAACAUCUGACCAAAUAGAUCCGGCCACCAGCCGACCAACGAACCAAGUUACCCUAGGGAUAACAGCGCAAUCCUCUCCAAGAGUCCAUAUCGACAAGAGGGUUUACGACCUCGAUGUUGGAUCAGGACAUCCUAAUGGUGCAGCCGCUAUUAAGGGUUCGUUUGUUCAACGAUUAAAGUCCUACGUGAUCUGAGUUCAGACCGGAGCAAUCCAGGUCAGUUUUUAUCUGUAACGCUACUUUUUCCUAGUACGAAAGGACCGGAACAAGGGGGCCCAUAUUACCAAUACGCCCCACCCUUAUUUAAUGAUAACCACUAAAUUAAAUAAAAGGAGGGCCCAACCUCAAAUCAAGAGAAGAUU